GGGCCCGCACAAGCGGUGGAGCAUGUGGUUCAAUUCGACGCAACGCGAAGAACCUUACCUGGGCUCGAAAUGCAGUGGACCGGGGUGGAAACAUCCCUUCCCGCAAGGGCUGCUGUAUAGGUGCUGCAUGGCUGUCGUCAGCUCGUGUCGUGAGAUGUUGGGUUAAGUCCCGCAACGAGCGCAACCCUUAUUGCCAGUUGCCAUCAUUAAGUUGGGCACUCUGGCGAAACCGCCCCGGAUAACGGGGAGGAAGGUGGGGAUGACGUCAAGUCCUCAUGGCCUUUAUGUCCAGGGCUACACACGUGCUACAAUGGUCGGUACAAACCGUCGCAAACCCGCGAGGGGGAGCUAAUCGGAAAAAGCCGGCCUCAGUUCGGAUUGUAGUCUGCAACUCGACUACAUGAAGCUGGAAUCGCUAGUAAUCGCGGAUCAGAACGCCGCGGUGAAUACGUUCCCGGGCCUU
RNAcentral lists this ribosomal RNA (463 nucleotides) under uncultured bacterium. RNAcentral's name for it is "bacterial SSU rRNA". It matches the Rfam family "Bacterial small subunit ribosomal RNA", at positions 917 to 1382 of the family's 1533-position model. The record is from RNAcentral.